AAUGUUGAAUGUAAUUAACAGUUGUUGACUAUAAAUAACAUAUGUUGAAUGUAAUUGACAGUUGUAUUCUUUAUUUUUAGUCAAAGGGGUUAAUUUUUUUCUAUGUUAAUUUAUUUUUAGUCCACAUAGAAAUCAAUAUAUCCUUAACAGUUUUUAUUUUCUUUCAGAUUAUAUAUUGAUCAUUUCCACAUAUCAUCAUCAAUGUCGUUGUCGUCAUCAGCAUCUUUAUUAAAAAAAAGUUUAAUUUUUAACAUUUUCAUCAUUUUUUGGAAGGGACAAAACAAAAAAAAAUAAUAAAAAAAAAUAAUAAUAAACAAAAAAAAUUUUGAAUUCAAUUUUUUAGAACAAAUAAGCAGUGUGUCAUAGAACGCCAACUUAUAUGUUUUAGAAAACAUUGGGAGUAAGAUUCAUAUAUAUCUAAUUAUAUAAAGUACACUUUGUUUCACUCUUAGGCUGUCCACCUCAGCAGACAGGUCAGAAAUUCAAGUCUUCUGGUCAUGACACGUGUACCGCUUAACCAAAACGCAUCACUUCAUUUUAUUAAAAUCUGAUGGGCUUUGUUCGCUACAGAAUCUGAAUCCACCAACUGGACUUGCGUUUUGUGUUAUUUACGUUUGUUAUAUUUGGAUUUUUAUGGUUUUCAACUGGGCUUUGUCUUACAUUUAUUUGGGCUGAUA
RNAcentral lists this long non-coding RNA (677 nucleotides) under Brassica rapa (field mustard). RNAcentral describes it as "long non-coding RNA (BRAP_LNC006652)". Lineage: Eukaryota; Viridiplantae; Streptophyta; Magnoliopsida; Brassicales; Brassicaceae. The record is from RNAcentral.